RNAcentral lists this ribosomal RNA (439 nucleotides) under uncultured bacterium. RNAcentral's name for it is "partial 16S ribosomal RNA". It matches the Rfam family "Bacterial small subunit ribosomal RNA", at positions 339 to 795 of the family's 1533-position model. The record is from RNAcentral.
CUACGGGAUGCAGCAGUGGGGAAUAUUGCACAAUGGACGAAAGUCAGAUGCAGCAACGCCGCGUGGAGGAUGACACAUUUCGGUGCGUAAACUCCUUUUAUAUAGGAAGAAGAUGACGGUACUAUAUGAAUAAGCGCCGGCUAACUCCGUGCCAGCAGCCGCGGUAAUACGGAGGGCGCAAGCGUUACUCGGAAUCACUGGGCGUAAAGAGCGUGUAGGCGGAUUAAAAAGUCAGAAGUGAAAUCCUAUAGCUUAACUAUAGAACUGCUUCUGAAACUCUUAAUCUAGAAUAUGGGAGAGGUAGAUGGAAUUUCUGGUGUAGGGGUAAAAUCCGUAGAGAUCAGAAGGAAUACCGAUUGCGAAGGCGAUCUACUAGAACAUUAUUGACGCUGAGACGCGAAAGCGCGGGGAGCAAACAGGAUUAGAUACCCCCGUAGUC